RNAcentral lists this ribosomal RNA (207 nucleotides) under uncultured bacterium. RNAcentral describes it as "partial 16S ribosomal RNA". It matches the Rfam family "Bacterial small subunit ribosomal RNA", at positions 568 to 774 of the family's 1533-position model. The record is from RNAcentral.
CGUGCAGCCGGGCCGGCAAGUCAGAUGUGAAAUCUGGAGGCUUAACCUCCAAACUGCAUUUGAAACUGUAGGUCUUGAGUACCGGAGAGGUUAUCGGAAUUCCUUGUGUAGCGGUGAAAUGCGUAGAUAUAAGGAAGAACACCAAUGGCGAAGGCAGGUCUCUGGGCCGUUACUGACGCUGAGGAGCGAAAGCGUGGGGAGCGAACA